RNAcentral lists this ribosomal RNA (800 nucleotides) under uncultured bacterium. RNAcentral's name for it is "bacterial SSU rRNA". It matches the Rfam family "Bacterial small subunit ribosomal RNA", at positions 8 to 807 of the family's 1533-position model. The record is from RNAcentral.
AGAGUUUGAUCCUGGCUCAGAUUGAACGCUGGCGGAAUGCUUUACACAUGCAAGUCGAACGGUAGAGGGGGCAACCCCUCGAGAGUGGCGAACGGGUGAGUAAUAUAUCGGAACGUGCCCAGUCGUGGGGGAUAACGUAGCGAAAGUUACGCUAAUACCGCAUACGAUCUACGGAUGAAAGCGGGGGACCGUAAGGCCUCGCGCGAUUGGAGCGGCCGAUAUCAGAUUAGGUAGUUGGUGGGGUAAAGGCUCACCAAGCCAACGAUCUGUAGCUGGUCUGAGAGGACGACCAGCCACACUGGAACUGAGACACGGUCCAGACUCCUACGGGAGGCAGCAGUGGGGAAUUUUGGACAAUGGACGCAAGUCUGAUCCAGCCAUUCCGCGUGCAGGAUGAAGGCCCUCGGGUUGUAAACUGCUUUUGUACGGAACGAAAAGGUCUCUAUUAAUACUAGGGGCUCAUGACGGUACCGUAAGAAUAAGCACCGGCUAACUACGUGCCAGCAGCCGCGGUAAUACGUAGGGUGCAAGCGUUAAUCGGAAUUACUGGGCGUAAAGCGUGCGCAGGCGGUUAUGUAAGACAGAGGUGAAAUCCCCGGGCUCAACCUGGGAACUGCCUUUGUGACUGCAUAGCUAGAGUACGGUAGAGGGGGAUGGAAUUCCGCGUGUAGCAGUGAAAUGCGUAGAUAUGCGGAGGAACACCGAUGGCGAAGGCAAUCCCCUGGACCUGUACUGACGCUCAUGCACGAAAGCGUGGGGAGCAAACAGGAUUAGAUACCCUGGUAGUCCACGCCCUAAAC